RNAcentral lists this ribosomal RNA (916 nucleotides) under uncultured bacterium. Its description in RNAcentral is "bacterial SSU rRNA". It matches the Rfam family "Bacterial small subunit ribosomal RNA", at positions 8 to 917 of the family's 1533-position model. The record is from RNAcentral.
AGAGUUUGAUCCUGGCUCAGAUUGAACGCUGGCGGCAGGCUUAACACAUGCAAGUCGAGCGGGGGAAGUUGCUUCGGUAACUGACCUAGCGGCGGACGGGUGAGUAAUGCUUAGGAAUCUGCCUAUUAGUGGGGGACAACAUCUCGAAAGGGAUGCUAAUACCGCAUACGUCCUACGGGAGAAAGCAGGGGACCUUCGGGCCUUGCGCUAAUAGAUGAGCCUAAGUCGGAUUAGCUAGUUGGUGGGGUAAAGGCCUACCAAGGCGACGAUCUGUAGCGGGUCUGAGAGGAUGAUCCGCCACACUGGGACUGAGACACGGCCCAGACUCCUACGGGAGGCAGCAGUGGGGAAUAUUGGACAAUGGGGGGAACCCUGAUCCAGCCAUGCCGCGUGUGUGAAGAAGGCCUUUUGGUUGUAAAGCACUUUAAGCGAGGAGGAGGCUACCGAGAUUAAUACUCUUGGAUAGUGGACGUUACUCGCAGAAUAAGCACCGGCUAACUCUGUGCCAGCAGCCGCGGUAAUACAGAGGGUGCAAGCGUUAAUCGGAUUUACUGGGCGUAAAGCGCGCGUAGGUGGCCAAUUAAGUCAAAUGUGAAAUCCCCGAGCUUAACUUGGGAAUUGCAUUCGAUACUGGUUGGCUAGAGUAUGGGAGAGGAUGGUAGAAUUCCAGGUGUAGCGGUGAAAUGCGUAGAGAUCUGGAGGAAUACCGAUGGCGAAGGCAGCCAUCUGGCCUAAUACUGACACUGAGGUGCGAAAGCAUGGGGAGCAAACAGGAUUAGAUACCCUGGUAGUCCAUGCCGUAAACGAUGUCUACUAGCCGUUGGGGCCUUUGAGGCUUUAGUGGCGCAGCUAACGCGAUAAGUAGACCGCCUGGGGGAGUACGGUCGCAAGACUAAAACUCAAAGGAAUUGACGGG